Drosophila hydei is the source of this 550-nucleotide RNA transcript. RefSeq lists it as uncharacterized. NCBI's taxonomy places the organism in Eukaryota, Metazoa, Arthropoda, Insecta, Diptera, Drosophilidae. The transcript is spliced from 3 exons. The record is from RefSeq and is a predicted model, not a curated record.
AGCACAGACUAAUCGAAUUAUUGCGUGCCUUGAGUUCUCAUUCAAAAAGUAUAGAGUUCUAAUAUUAAAUUUAAGUAAAAGUUGAGAGGUUGAGAAGUAAAUGAUUGUUAAGCGAAAAAAUGAACGUUUUAAAGCAGCCUUCAUUAAAUACGUGUGAACAAGGAGACAUCAGCUAUGCGAAAUUGGAUCCCUCAGUCAAAAGUUGAGGGAAUUUCCUUCUAGGAGAUCAAGUUCCAGUCGUCGCCGCGCGUUCCUUUAUCAGAGGUGCAACAGUUAUAUUUCUGUUCAACGUGUGCUUGCUAUGUUUCGGCUUUCUAAUUUACAAGUAUGUAAGAACUCUAGAAGAUAAGAAGAGGGUUGAAAUAGGUAAUUGGAUUUGUAGCCUGACUGGUGUUGUCAUCAUGAUCGUAAUGCACGGACUGGGGGAUGCGUCACGGAACAAUCCCCGCUUUUACUACAUUUAGAUUCAUUAUUUUCUUUACAAAUUUAUGUACUUAAAUAUCUAUCUGGCAUGACUCUUAGCUAAUCAAAAUUAAUUUAAGUUUUAAAA